Molecule: long non-coding RNA, 2993 nt
Filed under: Durio zibethinus
Lineage: Eukaryota; Viridiplantae; Streptophyta; Magnoliopsida; Malvales; Malvaceae
Description: long non-coding RNA (DZIB_LNC001912)
Source: RNAcentral
UGCCAAUUUGCUAAUAUUUUUAGAACUUAUCCAGAACCAUGAAAUUGAACUAUUGAAGAAACAAAAUUGCCAGCUUUGUCCUUUUCUUGCAGCAGGCGGGCUGCACUGUGUCACUGUUUUCAGUUAUCCAACUAAUUUUGAUGUAAAAGGUAUUAGGAGGAACCUUUGGAGAUGCUGAUGGGGAAUUGGAGUAGAGAAGGUUGAGUACAAAAAACCAAUUCUUAUAGCAAUAAUUUGUAGAGAAGAUUAUCCUCAAUGAAUGACAUGAUCAUCUGAUUUUGACAUGAAAUCCAUAUAAAUUAGGUUUGGUAAUGAAGUUUUAACGAACAAAUAAGUUACAUGGUUUAAACAUCAUCAUCAGCUUUUUGUGUCAUCUUAAUUUGGUGGCAAAAAAAAAAAAAAAAAGCCUAGAUGUUCCUGCUCCUGGUUGGUUAUGGUUAUAAUCAAUACAGCUUUACUUGACAUUGAAACUACUGCAAUUUCAUUUGUUCAACUACCUCCUCCUGUUGAGUUUCUUAAAAAAAGUCUACAGCUUUUUUGAGGCUUGUAUUUGACAGUUUUGCUACAUUUUUAUUGCAGUCAUUCAUUCACCUAACACUUUUUCUCAACCACAAUGAAUAAUGUUUUCUCUAGUUUCCUUUAUCAGGGAAGUUGGAUCAGAGCCCCUUAUCCAACCCAGUUACCCAACAAUUAGAUUUUGAUUGUUGCGGUUGGGACCAUACCCCAGCCACCAAAGUUGUGGGUUGUGCCACUUGGAACAGGUCACAACCACCCUGGAUAAUUGGUUCAGUUCAAUCUCCAGGCCUUUAUAUUUCACCAAACUCUACCAUUUCUCUCCAUUUAUGAAGUCUUAUUGCGUGAAAGGGUGAAAGUGCGUUGGUAGGCAAACUCUUUGUGCUUGUUAAAGUCAUACAAAGUUCAAAAGCUGCAGUGAUGAUAACUGAUUACCAAUAAACUUUCAAUGAGUUCCUGAGCUCAAAAGGAAAAACUAAAACAAAUGAAAUAGCGUUGCUGUAAGGUUUGUUCUGAGUCUUGGACAUAAAACACCAAACAAGUCAUGACUCAUGAUUACCAACGGCACCUAUUGAAAUUCAGAAUUGGUCAGUUUGGGACACACCGGGUUUUUUCUAAGUUCAUUAAGUGAGAUAUUUAUGGCAACUUGAACUAUAAGAGAUUAAUAGUAGUACAGUAAUUAUUAAGAUGCGACAUAUGGAUAGAAUAAUUGGAGAAGUAUUUUCCAGACAAGCAAGUUCAAUUACUUCAACUAGUUAAGUUCAACUCAAAUCUCGAAGAGAUCUCGACUGACUUCUCACAAUGGUAAUAUACUAAUAAUUUCGUGAGAAGUACGAUUGCUUAACACACGAUCCUAAACCUUUAACUUCAGCUGACGAUGCAGGUUUCCCAUAUUAAAUUGUUUGAGGUUUUUCAAACUUUACAGACAGAAACCAACCAUGUUGCAGUGUUGCGAAAACAGAAUUACAAUCCUCUUCAUCGCUUCAACAAUUCCCCACUGUUUACAUCAAUAAAUGGAUCAAAUUAAUUAGCCUGGCUAAGACUAAGCAAAAAAAAAAUCAUGCUUAAUACACAUCAAAUUCAUUGACAAAUAUAUCACAUCACUUUGUUGAUAGAUUGUUGGACUCUUACUUCCAAUUAUCAUGUUCAAAUCCUAGCAGCCUCAACUUUAAAAAAAAAGAAAUCUUUGUGUGGGUCCAAGACCUAGAUCAAUUAUAGACAGCCUGUCAUUGUUGAUAAGAUGACAAAUACCGUGGUUACAUGGCAGGGUCUUCCACAUUUCAUGAACGAUCCUAGCUUUACAAUGAAACUGCAGAUGUUUUUGUUUAAGGAUAAGAAGGAACAUAAAUAUGCUUUAUCAUUCCAAGUCAUGCAUAAGAGUUUCCUUAUCUCUUUAUUUAUGAUUUUAUGAGAUUGACACCAUUAAUCCGCAUGGACUUGGACAUCAGAUACCAUAUCCAAAACUCUCUACUUUCGGCUGGCUCCGCAAGAAUCAUAUAUGAUCCUUUACAACAGUGACAAAUUUAAACUUUAUUUUCUUCUAUAUAUUCAUUAUCUGCAUCCUCUGAGUCCAAAUCAAUACUUCAAAAUGUUUAUCAGAUACUUAUUUGUUUCUAAUAAGUCAUGGAAAAAGGGAAAAGAUAAGUUGGAUAAAUUAGAAGCAAAUAAUCAACUUUUGAAUAUCCUGUUUAAUUUGAAAAUAACAAGAUAUGAGAAUUACAUUAUUGCAAUUCAAUGCUGAUGUUCACAGCUCAUAGAUGAGGGCAUCCAGUCAACAGUCAACAUUGCACUGCUUGCUUGAUUCUGUUUCCUAAUGUUGUUUGGUGGCUUUCACUGUCACGUCUCAGGUCAUUGCCAAUUGAUGAUAUAACAGUAGCACAACGUAGGUUAUCCUACAGAUAUAGUUCAGAAAUUUAUCAGCUAAUUACUUCAAACGUUGAAUAGAAGAUGUAGAGAUGCUUUUAAUGCUUUAAAACUCCUGCAGCAGUAAAUUCUAGAAGCUGUAAUAAUUAAUAACAACUUGCUCUUAUUUCUGACUUUGGUGGGGACCAAGUGCCCUUGAAAAUCAUUGGUUUCCGAUUUUUGGCAUAUUGGGUGCUUGCAUCUUGGAGGCAAAAACAUAUUACCAUUAAUUAUGAAAGUCUGGAAUCCAUCAAUUCAUGGCCUAAACUUUAGUUAAUCAAGGAACCGUUUUGUCAUUUAUGCAACAGCAGUUUUUUGGAUUUGGAAUUACCACAUGUUGAGUCUCAAAUGAGAUAAGGUUGCAACUUUGCAGAUGAGAGUUAAUGUUGAGGCAGGAUGAAGAUGAAUCAAAACCCUUAGUUUGCUGCCUGCUGGCAUCCUUUUUGGAAUGUCAGAAUUUGGUGUCGCCUCUAGGCUCUAACUUCAAUGCUGUUCCAGUCUUUCAUAUGGCCUAUUGAUAGAUUUGUUGUAGUUGUGGGCUAGUUGGGACCAUGAAUCUGGCCCAAUUAACUCAUUGG